ACACUUCAACUCUCAUAGCUUGCUGUGAUGAGCUUGGACUUUGGGGGUCUUGCUGGCCUGUGGUCAGCUCCUCUCAAAUGAAUUAGCUUUCCAGUGUUUGGUGGCAUCACGGGUGUGAUAACUAUCUACGCUUGUGGUUUCCAUCAGAUAACCUUUGGGUUCGCUGGAGCUCAUAGAUGUCUCCUCAGUGAGGACAGCUCUUUGAAC
Molecule: unclassified non-coding RNA, 207 nt
Filed under: uncultured Tomentella
Lineage: Eukaryota; Fungi; Basidiomycota; Agaricomycetes; Thelephorales; Thelephoraceae
Description: sequence contains ITS2
Source: RNAcentral